UGUUAAAAAUUUCAUACAUUUCUACUGUUAAAAAGUGGUGUGCCUAGUGAAAUAACCAUACAGUUACACAUAACGUGCCACAUAUACCUUAUUCUAAUGUAUAAUAAUUAGUUUUUAACAGUAAAACUGGGUAAAAUUUUUAACA
Non-coding RNA from Gossypium raimondii (Peruvian cotton), 145 nucleotides. The record is from Rfam. NCBI's taxonomy places the organism in Eukaryota, Viridiplantae, Streptophyta, Magnoliopsida, Malvales, Malvaceae.